This is a long non-coding RNA of Cornus florida, 424 nucleotides long. RefSeq lists it as uncharacterized. The record is from RefSeq and is a predicted model, not a curated record. The transcript is spliced from 2 exons. Lineage: Eukaryota; Viridiplantae; Streptophyta; Magnoliopsida; Cornales; Cornaceae.
UCUGAUUCGUUAAAUGCUUCUCCUAGAGUAUCCCCAAAUUCAUUAUCUAGUCGUGAUGCCAAUUCAGUUAAGGGUAAUUCAAAUCAAAUGGGCAAGAAGACUUGUUGAAGUUGAAGAUGGGGUCGUGGCUGUGCUUUCUGAAUUUCCUUCGCCUUGGAUGGGUUCUUUUUGAAAAACUUGUACUACAUUUGUCAAAAAUUGUUAAUUCUUUUUGUCUGACAUUUAGUAGCUUUAUUUAGACAAUUUGGAUGGUAUAUUGGUAGGUUAACUUGUGGUUGUAUUAGUAUACAUUUUUUCUUUUUGGUUGACAUUUACCAGCUUAACUUGUGGUUGUAUUAGUAGCCAAUUUUGAUGGUAAUUUUCAUAUUGGCAGGGUUAACUUGUGGUUGUAUUAUGUAAAAAUAAUUUGGAUGGUAUUUUUAUA